Molecule: long non-coding RNA, 909 nt
Filed under: Monodelphis domestica (gray short-tailed opossum)
Lineage: Eukaryota; Metazoa; Chordata; Mammalia; Didelphimorphia; Didelphidae
Description: lncRNA (ENSMODG00000037036.1)
Source: RNAcentral
GAAGAAACUUCUUCAAGCUCUUACAGGUCUAUUCCACACUCAGUAUUCCAGGAUUCAAAAUUUCUGGUCUUUCUUUCCCCUGCAAUAUGAGCCAUCUGCCCAUAGAAGAGAAGGUCGAUGGAGAGAGAGUCAGGAAAGAAUGCCUUCCUUACCACCUCCCAGGGAAAGAUAUUGACAAAGCAGAAGCUAUUCAGAGGAGGAAAACUAAGAUCCUGAUGGGAUGGGAGACUGCCAUAAAAAAAGAGACGGAAAGAACUCUCCAUACAUUGUUAGGCAGAAGGAGAGGCACAGGAAGAUAUGACAGCUGUCCUCAAUCAUCUGAAAGACUUUCAUGUGGAAGACGACUUGUCUUGUUUCGCUUCAAUGUACAGUUCGAAGAGAAAUGGUGCAAGUUUUAGAGGCAGAUUUUGGUUCAAUCUAAGGAAAAUCAUUCUAACAGUUGUCUCACAGUGGGAUCAUCUAUCUCUGUAUCGUAAGCUCUCUAUCACUGGAGUUCAUCAAGCAGAGGUCUAAUGCCUAUUUGCUGGUACUGUUGUAGAAGCUGAUUUCUACUGAGCUACAUGGCAGGUAACAUGACCUUCAAGGCCCUUUUCAACUCAGAGAUCCUGUGAUUUUGCUUCAUGAAAGCUAGUCUCCUUUCACCAACUAGAUGCUUCAACUAGGGCAUAAUGAAAACUCCUUUGGAGCUUGCUAUGAUCUCCAGUCUCCCACUGCAGACUAAUACAGGAAUGGGGACACAGCAGGUACUCCAUUAAUCAUUCAAUCAAUUAAUAAGCAUUUAUUAAGCACACACUCACUGUGUAAUUAGAAUUUUUAACCCCAGGACUCCAUUUCCCAGAAUCCCACUUUCAUCCUCACAUUAAGUCCUUACUUUUGGAGAUAAAGUUUCUGUAACCCUGCCCUCUCUCU